This 492-nucleotide ribosomal RNA is filed under the name uncultured bacterium. RNAcentral describes it as "partial 16S ribosomal RNA". It matches the Rfam family "Bacterial small subunit ribosomal RNA", at positions 29 to 507 of the family's 1533-position model. The record is from RNAcentral.
AGUGAACGCUGGCGGUAGGCCUAACACAUGCAAGUCGAACGGCAGCACAGUAAGAGCUUGCUCUUACGGGUGGCGAGUGGCGGACGGGUGAGGAAUACAUCGGAAUCUACUUUUUCGUGGGGGAUAACGUAGGGAAACUUACGCUAAUACCGCAUACGACCUACGGGUGAAAGCAGGGGAUCUUCGGACCUUGCGCGAUUGAAUGAGCCGAUGUCGGAUUAGCUAGUUGGCGGGGUAAAGGCCCACCAAGGCGACGAUCCGUAGCUGGUCUGAGAGGAUGAUCAGCCACACUGGAACUGAGACACGGUCCAGACUCCUACGGGAGGCAGCAGUGGGGAAUAUUGGACAAUGGGCGAAAGCCUGAUCCAGCCAUACCGCGUGGGUGAAGAAGGGCUUCGGGUUGUAAAGCCCUUUUUUUUGGGAAGAAAAGCAGCAGGUUUAUACCCCGCCGUUUUGACGGUACCCAAAGAAUAAGCCCCGGCUAACUUCGUG